GCCCUGGAAUGUCAAGGCCGGCCCUGCCAAUAUUUAACAUGUUCGGCCAAGCACCAACAUGGCAGACACGGGGAAUUAAAAAAAAAAAAACGAACGAAAAUCCACAUAUUUAAAAUAACACAACUCUUCAUUUGCAAAAAACGAUUUAUUACUUUGAAAAAGUGCAUCUAAGUUACUGUAGUUUCUCCUUCCUCCCAUUCCCCCUCAUUCAACCCUCACCAUGUCCUCCACUGAUUUCUCCCUUCCUUGCCAUCUCCUCCACCACCCCAUGGAGGUGUCAUCUCGUUUGUCGGCCCCUGCCCAUCCACCGCCAUCUCCUCCGCCGCCGACCGCCAUGUAUGUUUGGAUUCGUGAAUGCAACAAUUAGUUAAUUAAUGGGGGAAGGGAUGAACUGGAAGCUACAGUUAAUCGGCGACAUGGAGGAAGAAGUAGCUGCGUUUUUUCGGAGAUUAUGGGUUGAAUACGAGGGAAUGAGAGGAAGAAGAAGCUGUAGUAACUCAGAUGCGCCUUUUCAAAGUAAGAAAUAGUUUUUGCAGAUGAAGAGCUGUGUUAUUUUAAAUACGUGGAUUUUCAUUCGUUUUUUCCUUUUUUUUUAAAUUCUGUAUGUCUGCCAUGUUGGCAUUUGGCCGUAACACGUCAAAUAUCGGUAGCCGGAUAAUUUUUACGAACCACAAAUAAGAAAAAAGUGAAACGAUGGGUAUUGUUUUGUAUUUGACGGGCACUCUUCUGUUUACGAGGCCUGACCCUUAGUCCGCGCAUGUGCUUUCAAG
Molecule: long non-coding RNA, 770 nt
Filed under: Salvia miltiorrhiza (redroot sage)
Lineage: Eukaryota; Viridiplantae; Streptophyta; Magnoliopsida; Lamiales; Lamiaceae
Description: long non-coding RNA (SMIL_LNC012274)
Source: RNAcentral